UGCAAAAAUUUAUAGAAUUCACAUCUGAUCUGAGACACAGUAUUUGGAGUUUGGUGUUUGUCUUAUCUAAGUACUUCUGCUGAUCGUUUUAGUCCCUGCACUAAAAUGCUGCAUUUUAUCUCUCAAGUCCCUGCAUUUCUGGCCUUGAGAGAUAACAGAAAAAAAUAUACGUUGGUCUCGGCCCCCUCUUCCACCUCAUUCUUGGCACAGAGCUCCUGAAACCCUUGUAAAUUCCUAAAUGAUAAGCACACAAGAGCAACUCUGUUCUAAAAUGUGGUCUUUGACCCUGGCUCCCAAUACAAGCUCCUAACCCCCUUGGAAUUUCCUAGGUGACAGGAGUGUCUUUUGUUCUAAUGGGAUGACUGGGUGGGCUCCGAUGGCUCUAGGAAAGGGGGCAGGGAGCUUGGAAUUUUCUCCCGAGAAAGGAGAGGGCCUGGAAAUGGAGUUAAUGAUUGAUCGUGCUUCAGGGAGGAAGCCUCCAUAAAAUUUGCCAAUUGUACAGGGUUUGGAAAACUUCCAGGUUGGUGAACACAUCUACAUAGUAGGAGGGUGACCCAACCCUGCUCCAUGGGAAAGAAGCUCCUGAGCUUGGGACCCUCCCCGGAGUUCACGCUGCUUGGAACACAGCUCCGUUUUGAAUGAAGAAAACUGAUGGGAGAGGCGAGCGAGCCCAGAGAAAUGCACGCUGUUGUUAAGAGCAUCAUCUUCACGCUGUCAGCAGAGAUUCGAGUCUACCAAAACAUCCACUGUCACAUAAAAGAUGACAGAACUGAAGCACUGAAAGGUUAAACAAGGGCUCACAACCAUUAAGUGUUAGAGCCAGGAUUUGAACCCAAGUAAACUGACCCACUAUGAACUGAUAUGUCUAAAUUCUAUGAGGCAGAAGUUCCAAAACUCUCAAGGAGAAGACAGAGGAAGUUCAAGAGCUAACACCCACCAAGUAAAGGACAAAAAAAAAAAAAAAAAAUAGAAGCAAAUUAAAUUUCUCUUUCUUCUGAUAAUGUUCUCCCAAUGCUUGGAGGCUGAAUUUGCCAGGAAAUUACAAAGUACUGUCCUGGAGAUAGAACUCUUUUUUGCUGUUGUUGCUUUCACCAUAAAUGAGCUUCUUUCAGAAUGUCCAUUGGAUGUAGACUGGUAACAGACACAUGAAAAGAUGCUCAACAUCACUCAUCAUCUGGGAAAUACAAAUCAAAACUACAAACUUAUACCUGUCAGAAUGGCUAAAAUUAACAGAGGAAACAACAGAUGUUGGGAGAAUGAGAAAGGAGAACCCUCUUGCACUGUUGGGGAGAAUGCAAACUGAUGCAGCCACUCUGGAGAACAGUAUGGAGGUUCCUCAGAAAGUAAAAAAUAGGACGACUUAUGACCUAGCAAUCGCAUUACUAGGUAUUUACCCAAAGGAUACAAAAAUACUUUUUCAAAGGGACCCAUGCACCCUGAUGUUUACAACAGCAUUAUCAACACUAGCACAAUUAGGGAAAGAGCCCAAAUAUCCAUUGACUGAUGAACGGAUAAAGAAGUUGUGGUAUAUAUACACAAAAUAAUAUCGGUCAUAAAAAGGAAUGAAAUCCUGCCAGCUGCGAUAACUUGGAUGAAGCUACAGUUUAUUAUACUAAGCAAAAUAAGUCAGU
Mustela lutreola (European mink) is the source of this 1631-nucleotide long non-coding RNA. RefSeq lists it as uncharacterized. The record is from RefSeq and is a predicted model, not a curated record. The transcript is spliced from 3 exons. Lineage: Eukaryota; Metazoa; Chordata; Mammalia; Carnivora; Mustelidae.